AGUUGUGUACGUGUGUCUUCCUUCCUUUCCAAUGUGGAUUUACCCCAUGUGUUGGAUUUAAUAAAUGACAGUUUCGUUUAUCCACGGCUCCUUCAUUCCCUCCGAGGCACCCAUACGAAGGAUGAUUGUGGGCCAGGGGUCGACGUUGAAUCAGAUUGGGAUGGAAUGCUCCUGAGAUCAGAGAACAGAGGACAGAGAAGGAGGGGCUGUACCAGGUCAAACUCCAUCAGUUAUUCCCAUCACUACCAUGCCCUUAACAUUUCUAUGUUUAACAAGGAUUUAGAGGAGGAUUCUGUCUGUCAAAGCACAAGAUCAGGAC
Cyprinus carpio carpio is the source of this 319-nucleotide long non-coding RNA. The record is from Ensembl. Lineage: Eukaryota; Metazoa; Chordata; Actinopteri; Cypriniformes; Cyprinidae.